Molecule: ribosomal RNA, 1166 nt
Filed under: Nosema sp.
Lineage: Eukaryota; Fungi; Microsporidia; Nosematidae
Description: bacterial SSU rRNA
Rfam family: Microsporidia small subunit ribosomal RNA
Source: RNAcentral
GUAGACGCUAUACUCUAAGAUUAACCCAUGCAUGUUUAUUGAAUAUAAAGAAAAGACGAACAGCUCAGUAACUCUUAUUUGAUUUGAUGUAUUAGGAUUCUAACUAUGUUAAAUUAUAGGUAACAAUAAUACAAUAAGAAUAAGAUCUAUCAGUUAGUUGUUAAGGUAAUGGCUUAACAAGACUAUGACGGAUAACGGUAUUACUUUGUAAUAUUCCGGAGAAGGAGCCUGAGAGAUUGCUACUAAGUCUAAGGAUUGCAGCAGGGGCGAAACUUGACCUAUGAUAUUAUAUUGAGGCAGUUAUGAGUAGUAUUUUAUAAUUAUUGUAGUAUUGUAAGUACAUAUUACAAGAUAAAUCGGAGGGCAAAUCGAGUGCCAGCAGCCGCGGUAAUACUUGUUCCGAUAGUGUGUAUGAUGAUUGAUGCAGUUAAAAAGUCUGUAGUUUAUUUUAUAAUAAGCAUUGUAAGGUAUACUGUAUGGUUAGGAGAGAGAUGAAAUGUGAUAACCCUAACUGGAUGAACAGAAGCGAAAGCUGUAUACUUAAAUGUAUUAUUAGAACAAGGACGUAAGCUAGAGGAUCGAAGAUGAUUAGAUACCAUUGUAGUUCUAGCAGUAAACUAUGUUGAAUCAUAGAUAUAUUUUGAUAUAUAUUUAUGUAGAGAAAUUAAGAUUAUAUUGACUCUGGGGGAUAGUAUGAUCGCAAGAUUGAAAAUUAAAGAAAUUGACGGAAGAAUACCACAAGGAGUGGAUUGUGCGGCUUAAUUUGACUCAACGCGGGGUAAUUUACCAGGUAUAACAUGAUAUAAUAUUUUAUCAUGAUAGUGGUGCAUGGCCGUUUUCAAUGGAUGCUGUGAAGUAAUGAUUAAUUUCAACAAGAUGUGAGACCCUCAUUUAGACAGAUGUAGUGAUACAUAUGAAGGAGAGGAUUAAAACAGGUCCGUUAUGCCCUAAGAUAAUCUGGGUUGCACGCGCAAUACAAUAAUAUUUGAUAUUAUAAGGGAUAAUAUAAUGUAAGAUAUAUUUGAACAUGGAAUUGCUAGUAAAUUUUAUUUAAUAAGUAGAAUUGAAUGAGUCCCUGUUCUUUGUACACACCGCCCGUCGCUAUCUAAGAUGGUAUUAUCUAUGAACAAAUUUAUAAAGUGAAUAGAUAGUACUAGAUCUGAUAU